GCAAACAAGGUCUGACAAGACAGGACGGGAUCUCAGUCCUCAUCCGGGUCGUACUCGGGGUUAUCCUUGGGGUCCUCCUCCACGUACUCCUCUUAAGGUUCCUCAACAGGGAUCUCCUCAUCAGAUUCAUGCUCCUUAGGCUCCUCAUCCAUGUCCUGAAAUGGUUAUUCAAUAACCACUGAGACAACGUCUCAGCAAGUUCUACCUCCUAAGACCCAAUUAGUAAACUAAUACACCUUAGGGCUACCUAUGCACAACAUGAGUUAGAGGACUUACCUUAGCCUCAGAUUCCACCUGCAUAUUAGCACAAAUCAAAUAGGCACCAAAACAAUGACAUCACAGAUCAAAGCAUCGAUCUAAUCGACUUAGUCGAUUACACGCCAACAAGACCACUCACGGUCACUUCCAUUCAAUCGAUCAAUUCACAACAUCAAACCAAGGCGAUGAAUCGCAUCAAGUCACACUCAGAUCGAAUCAUCGAUCAAUUGACCUAGUCGAUUACAAGCCAGUCGAAUCAUUUCUAGGUCAUUCAUCCCACACCAAGCAAUUCCUUGGAUUUAGUGGCUUUACAGUCCCACCCGACCCUCUCAAGAUCUAGUGGCUUUACGGUCCCACCCGACCCUUUCAAGAUUUAGUGGCUUUAUGGUCCCACCCGACCCUCUCAGGAUCUAGUGGCUUUACGGUCCCACCCGACCUUUCCAAGAUUUAGUGGCUUUAUGGUCCCACCCGACCUUUUCAAGAUUUAGUGGCUUUAUGGUCCCACCUGACCUUUUCAAGAUUUAGUGGCUUUAUGGUCCCACCCGACUCUCUCAAGAUUUAGUGGCUUUAUGGUCCCACCCGACCUCUUUCUACGAUAUCAUACUCUGUCACCGAGCCACGUGCAUUCUCUAGGAAGACAUACCGAGUCUCCGAGCCACGUGCAUUCUCUAAGGCUACAUUUUCGCCAAGAUGACAUACCUAAGCAUCGAGCCACGUGUCUUUCCCAGGUGACAUUCCAAUUCAUCGAGCCACAUGCAUUCUGCAGGUGAUUUACCAACUCACUUUCGAUACUGACAACCGAUACCCGACCAAUUCUCAAUCACAAGGCCAAAAUUGCAUUAUUUAAUAACAUAACUUAAAAAUGCACCAUUAAAUAAAUUCCACAAGAAUUAAAGCUUAAAUAAAUAAACGGACUGCUCCACAACAAUUAGCACGAAAUUCCGGUCAUUGGCCAUCCCAGUUGAAUUUCCGGAAAAUAAAUAAUUAAAUGAUUAAUUUUGAAAAUUAAUAAAUAAACAUAAUAAUUCCAAUUUAGCACAAUAUGAAGCUUAAUUAAAUAAACGGACUGCGUCACGAUCAUCAGCAUAAAAUCUCGGUCACUAGCCAUCCCAGUUGAAUUUCCGGAAAAUAAAUAAUUAAAUAAUUAAUUUCGAAAAUUAAUAUUUAAUUCCUAAAAAUUCCACCUAGGCCUGAUUUGCUUAAUUAACACCCGAUAAGGGACGGGAAACAUCCCAAGAAGCUUCCAAUAAAUACUAUAGGUAAUUCUCUAUCUAAUUACACUAAUCACACAACUAAUAAGCAAAUCAAUUAACUAAAAAUCACUAAUCAAUUAUAAUCUAACCACCUAAUUACACGUAAUUAGCACUAAUCAACCUUUAAGUAUAAUUAGUACACUAAGAAAGCAUUAGUGAGUAAAACUCACUCAAAACGACGAGCUCGACGCGAUGAUCGACUUUCCUCAAAGUGGGCCGAGCAUCUGGGCUCGGGAAGGCGGCCAAAACGGGCCAAAACCCCACUGUCAUACCCA
RNAcentral lists this long non-coding RNA (1786 nucleotides) under Eucalyptus grandis. RNAcentral's name for it is "long non-coding RNA (EGRA_LNC000692)". The record is from RNAcentral. Lineage: Eukaryota; Viridiplantae; Streptophyta; Magnoliopsida; Myrtales; Myrtaceae.